RNAcentral lists this ribosomal RNA (478 nucleotides) under uncultured bacterium. RNAcentral describes it as "partial 16S ribosomal RNA". It matches the Rfam family "Bacterial small subunit ribosomal RNA", at positions 28 to 523 of the family's 1533-position model. The record is from RNAcentral.
GACGAACGCUGGCGGCGUGCUUAACACAUGCAAGUCGAACGGUAAGGCCCUUCGGGGUACACGAGUGGCGAACGGGUGAGUAACACGUGGGUGAUCUGCCCUGCACUUCGGGAUAAGCCUGGGAAACUGGGUCUAAUACCGGAUAGGACCCUGGGAUGCAUGUACUGGUGUGGAAAGCUUUUGCGGUGUGGGAUGGGCCCGCGGCCUAUCAGCUUGUUGGUGGGGUGAUGGCCUACCAAGGCGACGACGGGUAGCCGGCCUGAGAGGGUGACCGGCCACACUGGGACUGAGAUACGACCCAGACUCCUACGGGAGGCAGCAGUGGGGAAUAUUGCACAAUGGGCGCAAGCCUGAUGCAGCGACGCCGCGUGAGGGAUGACGGCCUUCGGGCUGUAAACCUCUUUCAGCACCGACGAAGCGCAAGUGACGGUAGGUGCAGAAGAAGGACCGGCCAACUACGUGCCAGCAGCCGCAGUAA